GACGAACGCUGGCGGCGUGCCUAAUACAUGCAAGUCGAGCGCAGGAAAUCAUCCGAACCCUUCGGGGGGACGUUGAUGGAAUGAGCGGCGGACGGGUGAGUAACAUGUAAAGAACCUGCCCUCAGGUCUGGGAUAACCACGAGAAAUCGGGGCUAAUACCGGAUGGGUCAUCGGACCGCAUGGUCCGAGGGUGAAAGGCGCUUCGGCGUCGCCUGGGGAUGGCUUUGCGGUGCAUUAGCUAGUUGGUGGGGUAAUGGCCCACCAAGGCGCCGAUCCAUAGCCGACCUGAGAGGGUGAUCGGCCACACUGGGACUGAGACACGGCCCAGACCCCUACGGGAGGCAGCAGUAGGGAAUCUUCCACAAUGGACGAAAGUCUGAUGGAGCAACGCCGCGUGAACGAUGAAGGCCUUCGGGUCGUAAAGUUCUGUUGUAAGGGAAGAACAAGUGCCGCAGGCAAUGGCGGCACCUUGACGGUACCUUGCGAGAAAGCCACGGCUAACUACGUGCCAGCCGCCGCCGUAA
Molecule: ribosomal RNA, 524 nt
Filed under: uncultured bacterium
Lineage: Bacteria
Description: partial 16S ribosomal RNA
Rfam family: Bacterial small subunit ribosomal RNA
Source: RNAcentral